This 229-nucleotide ribosomal RNA is filed under the name uncultured bacterium. RNAcentral's name for it is "partial 16S ribosomal RNA". It matches the Rfam family "Bacterial small subunit ribosomal RNA", at positions 568 to 796 of the family's 1533-position model. The record is from RNAcentral.
UACGUAGGCGGAAAAUUAAGUCAGUAGUGAAAUCCCGCAGCUUAACUGUGGAACUGUUAUUGAUACUGGUUUUCUUGAAUAUAGUUGAGGUAGGCGGAAUGUGUAAUGUAGCGGUGAAAUGCUUAGAUAUUACACAGAACACCGAUUGCGAAGGCAGCUUACUAAGCUAUGAUUGACGCUGAGGUACAAAAGCGUGGGGAGCGAACAGGAUUAGAUACCCUGGUAGUCC